GAACUUUCCAGAGAUGGAUUGGUGCCUUCGGGAACUCUGAGACAGGUGCUGCAUGGCUGUCGUCAGCUCGUGUUGUGAAAUGUUGGGUUAAGUCCCGCAACGAGCGCAACCCUUAUCCUUUGUUGCCAGCGGUCCGGCCGGGAACUCAAAGGAGACUGCCAGUGAUAAACUGGAGGAAGGUGGGGAUGACGUCAAGUCAUCAUGGCCCUUACGAGUAGGGCUACACACGUGCUACAAUGGCGCAUACAAAGAGAAGCGACCUCGCGAGAGCAAGCGGACCUCAUAAAGUGCGUCGUAGUCCGGAUUGGAGUCUGCAACUCGACUCCAUGAAGUCGGAGUCGCUAGUAAUCGUGGAUCAGAAUGCCACGGUGAAUACGUUCCCGGGCCUUGUACACACCGCCCGUCACACCAUGGGAGUGGGUUGCAAAAGAAGUAGGUAGCUUAACCUUCGGGAGGGCGCUUACCACUUUGUGAUUCAUGACUGGGGUGAAGUCGUAACAAGGUAAGCGUAGUGCU
RNAcentral lists this ribosomal RNA (516 nucleotides) under uncultured bacterium. Its description in RNAcentral is "bacterial SSU rRNA". It matches the Rfam family "Bacterial small subunit ribosomal RNA", at positions 993 to 1509 of the family's 1533-position model. The record is from RNAcentral.